GACGAACGCUGGCGGCGUGCUUAACACAUGCAAGUCGAACGGAAAGGCCCUGCUUUUGUGGGGUGCUCGAGUGGCGAACGGGUGAGUAACACGUGAGUAACCUGCCCUUGACUUUGGGAUAACUUCAGGAAACUGGGGCUAAUACCGGAUAGGAGCUCCUGCUUCAUGGUGUGGGUUGGAAAGUUUCGGCGGUUGGGGAUGGACUCGCGGCUUAUCAGCUUGUUGGUGGGGUAGUGGCUUACCAAGGCUUUGACGGGUAGCCGGCCUGAGAGGGUGACCGGCCACAGUGGGACUGAGAUACGGCCCAGACUCCUACGGGAGGCAGCAGUGGGGAAUAUUGCACAAUGGGCGGAAGCCUGAUGCAGCAACGCCGCGUGCGGGAUGACGGCCUUCGGGUUGUAAACCGCUUUCGCCUGUGACGAAGAGUGAGUGACGGUAAUGGGUAAAGAAGCACCGGCUAACUACGUG
Molecule: ribosomal RNA, 468 nt
Filed under: uncultured bacterium
Lineage: Bacteria
Description: partial 16S ribosomal RNA
Rfam family: Bacterial small subunit ribosomal RNA
Source: RNAcentral